Molecule: ribosomal RNA, 254 nt
Filed under: uncultured bacterium
Lineage: Bacteria
Description: partial 16S ribosomal RNA
Rfam family: Bacterial small subunit ribosomal RNA
Source: RNAcentral
GACGAACCGUGCGAACGUUGUUCGGAUUCACUGGGCUUAAAGGGCGCGUAGGCGGGCGGUCAAGUCAGGGGUGAAAUCUUUUGGCUCAACCGGAAAAGUGCCUUUGAUACUGGCCGUCUCGAGGGAGGUAGGGGCAUGCGGAACUUCCGGUGGAGCGGUGAAAUGCGUAGAUAUCGGAAGGAACGCCGGUGGCGAAAGCGGCGUGCUGGACCUCUUCUGACGCUGAGGCGCGAAAGCCAGGGGAGCAAACGGGG